UACGUAGGGUCCGAGCGUUGUCCGGAAUUAUUGGGCGUAAAGGGCUCGUAGGCGGUCUGUUGCGUCGGGAGUGAAAACUUACAGCUUAACUGUGAGCGUGCUUCCGAUACGGGCAGACUUGAGGUAUUCAGGGGAGAACGGAAUUCCUGGUGUAGCGGUGAAAUGCGCAGAUAUCAGGAGGAAUACCGAUGGCGAAGGCAGGUCUCUGGGCUAGAACUGACGCUCAUGCACGAAAGCGUGGGGAGCAAACAGG
This 253-nucleotide ribosomal RNA is filed under the name uncultured bacterium. RNAcentral describes it as "partial 16S ribosomal RNA". It matches the Rfam family "Bacterial small subunit ribosomal RNA", at positions 524 to 776 of the family's 1533-position model. The record is from RNAcentral.